This is a long non-coding RNA of Gallus gallus (chicken), 3273 nucleotides long. RefSeq lists it as uncharacterized. NCBI's taxonomy places the organism in Eukaryota, Metazoa, Chordata, Aves, Galliformes, Phasianidae. The transcript is spliced from 3 exons. The record is from RefSeq and is a predicted model, not a curated record.
GGAAAUAAACUUAAUUUCUCAAAGAUCUAAUGAAAAAUAAAUGCAGCUGAUUGCCAAAAUAUCCGCAGGCUAAUUUUGCGCAAAAGCGGAAAUUGAUAUUUUAUGCUUCUCUUUCUUUUUUUCCUUUUGUUUUGAUAUAUGUGUAUAAAAUGACCAGAAAUUAAAAAGCUCUGACUAAUGAUUUAAUGAAAUCCAUUCUAAAUUUUAGGUCUUUAAAGAAAAUUGCUGGAUAUAUGGGUUCUUAUGGUGUUUUCUCCAAGGUUUUGAAUCAUGGCAGAGUAUUGGCAGAAUUCAGUGCAGCGGCCUCCCCAUGUUCUGUGCAGAUUUGAUAGCCUGCGGUACUGAUUUUGAAAAGCAAGCUUGCUUUCUGAGAUAAAUGGUUAAAAAUAGACCAAACAAAAGCAGAGUUGCCAUUCACUGAUAACACUAAAAAGGCACACUUUGGCAGUUUCCGUUAACUUCUUCGAAAUCAACACAGAGAAACUAAAUAUGAAAUGGAUGACUGAAGAUAUGUCACUUCUCAGUUAUUUUCCAGCGUAAAACAACAAAAGAAAGCCAGUUACUGACGUGACUGUGAGCACAUUGCUUCAAGAUGAAUGCUGUGCACGGGAGAUGGCUCCCACAGACAGUGGUUGUCUUUGUGCCGGCGUGGGAUGGAGCUGUAUCAACCAUCGCAUACCAUGGUGCAGCCAUGCCACAUAAAAGAAAGAAAGAUUGAGAGCAGAGUCAAGAUGAAGAGAAUAGGAGCCUGAUCCUGCUUUGUCACGUGGGAAUCCCUCUUUUUCAGGAGGACUGGGCCCUGCUGCUUAUGGGACCUUCAUCCCAUGAGUGGCCAUUCUCCCAUGGGUGGUCACAUUGUCUUCAUUGAUCUCAGUGGUAAUUUUUAUAUGGGUUAGGGUCAUGACAACUGGCACUGACAGUAAUACAUCACCGCCAAAUUAGAAUUUCUAAAAGAAAACAAGCAAGUUAAAAUUGCACGUUCAGGAAAGUACUUUAUUUACUUCCUACAUUACAGCAACAGAAUUUAACAUUACAGGAGGUUUAAAAAUACAUUUGCAUAACACCGAAGUUAUCAGUCUAGACUCCCCAUCUGUUGAAUGCCUCGUUAGUGAGUAGCUGUAGCACUUCGGUAUUUCACUUAAACAUCAUGAAAAAAAUGGUAAUAAUUUCUCUAUGCUAUUCUGCUACUAAUGAAACUUCAAAGCCAUGAAUGCAUAUGUUUAUAUUCAAUCUCUAUUUAUAUACUUAAACACAGACACUAGCACUAUGCAUAUUAAUGUGCCAAUAUGUGCUCCAGCAAUGCGUACAUUAACUUACAUGCAUAUUCAUAUAAAGGGUUGAGCUUGAUGGAAGCUUGGUCCUAAGCUUCAUACAGACCUUGAAUCAAACCCUUAGUUUUUAAUAAGGUAGGGCCAAAUUUAAUGGGGCCAAAUUUCCAGGAAUUCGUUUGGAUCAUUGUUGCUUUUGUAUUUGUUUUUUCUUAAGCAUAAGUUUUGCAUACAGGUGUUCUUCUGUUGACUCUGUAGUGCUUCCACACUCUCUUGUCCAUUCUCCUUUGUCUCUGUUGUUUUCAGUGUGUUUUAAUCAUGCAUUGUAAUCCCCUAUGCCGUUAUAACUGAUUAAUUAGCAGCCCCUCCGAUUCGGGCUCUGAAUCGUUCUCUUAUGCUCAGAUCAUUUAUAACUUUAGCUGAAAAGACAAGUUUGAACAUCUCCCUUGCAAUUCAUCUCUUUGCUUUGUGUAACUACCAUGAUUAUUGUUUAUUCUUUAUUAUGAGUGGGUUUUUCUAAGGAUGAAAUGUUAACUCUCUGUUAUCUUGGCUCUUAACCUGCAAUUAAAUCCCAUCAAAUAGGCUGAUAGGAAAUAAUGUAAAGUCAGAGAAUCCACUACUCAUGUUUCUUUGUAGGUUUGGGGACUUCAAAUGUCCAUUUUUUCUCCAAAGAUUAACUUAAGGAAACUGCAACUAGAAGAAUUGAAUGACAAAUCAAUUAUUUUGCAGAGCUUUCAUUUGCUUAUAAUCUCAAAUUUUCUUUACAGAUAUGUGGGAUAGAAGCAUGCCUGUAUUUGUAUAUGCGUGAAGAGUAAACAAAUCUGACAUUUUCCUUGAACAUUAGGAUGACAAAAUCUAUGGUUUUCAGAAAAUCACAUGGCAGGACCUGCAUGUGUACCAGUAGCCUUGGCUGCAGCAGUUGCAGAGCUGGACAGUCCAGGGGAAGCGCUGUGUCCCAGGAGGAUGGGCUGGGCAGGAGCUGGUGGUUCAGGUAACACGCAAGGGGACAGAGGGCAGUGGCAACAAAGCUGAAACUCGUGUCCUUAACAAAGAGAUUGCAGGCUGCAGGACUUCUGGUGGCAGAGAAGAUCUGUCCUCCUCAGAAGUUCCUACCUGAACUUCCCUCAACUCUUUGUCCAGAUUUCCUUGUGAAGUCCAAUGCUCAGAGCUUGUGAAGGAAGCACUUUUCUCCAUUACAUUUGCCCUAUGCGUAUUUUUUGAAGCAGAUGGGGUCAAGAUAUCAAGAGAUUGAAGGGGGAUCAAAUACCCAUUUGCCACUAGCUACUUCAAGCAUGAAACCAUGAGAGCACAGCAUGAAGGAAUAGCAGAGGAGAAAUUUUGCCAAGGCAGUGUUUUUCAGGACAGAUAGAAUAGUGAAGGAUAAAAUACUUCAUUGCUCCUCCCACCUACUGUCCCAGUCACCCUGUCAAGCACCAGCUAGCAGCACAAAGAUUUAUUUCUCUAGAAGGAACUGGUUGUCUCCAAGUGUCACACAAUUUAUGCAGCAAUUACCUGUUCACUUUCUACUGCAGUUAAUGCCCAUGUGGACUCAUUCUCUGAGUCCAAAGAUCUGCAUUCUCUUCAGCCCAAACAGAGCCAAAGAGAGAUACUGAGACUGUCCUGAACAUAGAAUCACAGAAUAUCCUGAGGGUAGGAACCCACAAAGAUCUCGAAGCCCAACCCAUGGCUCCACACAGCACUGUCCGAAAAUCAGACCAUACGUCUGAGAGCUUUGAUCUCCACCAGAAAAGGGAUGGCCUGCAGGGACAGGGUGGUGAUUGUCUCUCUACUCUGCCCUUGUGAGGCCCCAUCUGGAGUACUUCGUCCAGGUCUGGGGGCCCCAGUACAGGAAAGGUGUGGAGCUGUUGGUGCGGGUCCAGUGGUGGGCCACGAAGAUGAUCAGACAUCUGGAGCACCUCUCCUAUGAAGACAGGCUGAGGGAGCUGGGCUUGUUCAGCCUGGAGAAGGCUGAGAGGAGACCUCAUUGCAUCCUUUCAGUAUUUAA